AGUGAACGCUGGCGGUAGGCCUAACACAUGCAAGUCGAACGGCAGCACAGUAAGAGCUUGCUCUUACGGGUGGCGAGUGGCGGACGGGUGAGGAAUACAUCGGAAUCUACUUUUUCGUGGGGGAUAACGUAGGGAAACUUACGCUAAUACCGCAUACGACCUACGGGUGAAAGCAGGGGAUCUUCGGACCUUGCGCGAUUGAAUGAGCCGAUGUCGGAUUAGCUAGUUGGCGGGGUAAAGGCCCACCAAGGCGACGAUCCGUAGCUGGUCUGAGAGGAUGAUCAGCCCCCCUGGAACUGAGACACGGUCCAGACUCCUACGGGAGGCAGAAGUGGGGAAUAUUGGACAAUGGGCGAAAGCCUGAUCCAGCCAUACCGCGUGGGUGAAGAAGGCCUUCGGGUUGUAAAGCCCUUUUGUUGGGAAAGAAAAGCAGCAGGUUAAUACCCCGCUGUUCUGACGGUACCCAAAGAAUAAGCACCGGCUAACUUCGU
RNAcentral lists this ribosomal RNA (491 nucleotides) under uncultured bacterium. Its description in RNAcentral is "partial 16S ribosomal RNA". It matches the Rfam family "Bacterial small subunit ribosomal RNA", at positions 29 to 506 of the family's 1533-position model. The record is from RNAcentral.